Molecule: ribosomal RNA, 718 nt
Filed under: Candidatus Bathyarchaeota archaeon
Lineage: Archaea; Thermoproteati; Candidatus Bathyarchaeota
Description: bacterial SSU rRNA
Rfam family: Archaeal small subunit ribosomal RNA
Source: RNAcentral
AAACCGGUUGAUCCUGCCGGACAUGACUGCUAUCGGGGUGGGACUAAGCCAUGCGAGUCGUACGUCCUGGGCAGUGACAGGACGUGGCGUACGGCUCCGUAAAACGUGGCUAAACUACCCCCAGGACGGGAAUAACCCCGGGAAACUGGGGAUAAUUCCCGAUAGGUGCAAGGUUCUGGAAUGACCUUGCACUUAAAAGGGCUAGGAUCAUGCCUCCUAGCUCCGCCUGGGGAUGUGGCCACGGCCUAUCAGGUAGUUGGUGAGGUAACGGCUCACCAAGCCGAUAACGGGUACGGGCCCUGAGAGGGGGAGCCCGGAGAUGGCCACUGAGACAAGGGGCCAGGCCCUACGGGGUGCAGCAGGCGCGAAACCUCCGCAAUGGGCGAAAGCCCGACGGGGUCACCCCGAGUCCCACCUGCUGAGGGUGGGUUUUCCCCGGUCUAAAAAGCCGGGGGAAUAAGCGGGGGGCAAGUCUGGUGUCAGCCGCCGCGGUAACACCAGCUCCGCGAGUGGUCAUGACGUUUAUUGGGCUUAAAGCAUCCGUAGCCGGCUUGAUGUGUCUCUGGUUAAAUCUCACGGCCUAACCGUGAGGCUGCCGGAUAUACAAUCAAGCAAGGGGUUGGGAGAAGCCGGGGGUCCUCCAGAGGUAGGGGCAAAAACCUAUAAUCCCUGGAGGACCACCAGUGGCGAAGGCGCCCGGCUAGAACACGCCCGACGG